Molecule: non-coding RNA, 131 nt
Organism: Calypte anna (Anna's hummingbird)
Lineage: Eukaryota; Metazoa; Chordata; Aves; Apodiformes; Trochilidae
Source: Rfam
CUGUACUGCUCAGUGACCAGCUGGUCUGUCCUUGACCUUCUUGGUCUCAUCCCCAGUGCAAGAUCAAUUCCUCCUAGCAGAAGGGCCAGGCUCUUCUCAUGGCCUGUCCCUUUCGAAAGCUGGGUACAAAC